UACGUAGGGUGCAAGCGUUGUCCGGAAUUAUUGGGCGUAAAGAGCUCGUAGGCGGUUUGUCGCGUCUGCUGUGGAAACCCGAGGCUCAACCUCGGGCCUGCAGUGGGUACGGGCAGACUAGAGUGCGGUAGGGGAGAUUGGAAUUCCUGGUGUAGCGGUGGAAUGCGCAGAUAUCAGGAGGAACACCAAUGGCGAAGGCAGCACUCUGGGACGUGACUGACGCUGAGACGCGAAAGCGUGGGGAGCAAACAGG
This 253-nucleotide ribosomal RNA is filed under the name uncultured bacterium. RNAcentral describes it as "partial 16S ribosomal RNA". It matches the Rfam family "Bacterial small subunit ribosomal RNA", at positions 524 to 776 of the family's 1533-position model. The record is from RNAcentral.